RNAcentral lists this ribosomal RNA (546 nucleotides) under uncultured bacterium. Its description in RNAcentral is "partial 16S ribosomal RNA". It matches the Rfam family "Bacterial small subunit ribosomal RNA", at positions 355 to 895 of the family's 1533-position model. The record is from RNAcentral.
UGGGGAAUAUUGCACAAUGGGCGCAAGCCUGAUGCAGCCAUGCCGCGUGUGUGAAGAAGGCCUUCGGUUGUAAGCACUUUCAGCGAGGAGGAAGGUGGUGAGCUUAAUACGCUCAUCAAUUGACGUUACUCGCAGAAGAAGCACCGGCUAACUCCGUGCCAGCAGCCGCGGUAAUACGGAGGGUGCAAGCGUUAAUCGGAAUUACUGGGCGUAAAGCGCACGCAGGCGGUUUGUUAAGUCAGAUGUGAAAUCCCCGGGCUCAACCUGGGAACUGCAUUUGAAACUGGCAAGCUAGAGUCUCGUAGAGGGGGGUAGAAUUCCAGGUGUAGCGGUGAAAUGCGUAGAGAUCUGGAGGAAUACCGGUGGCGAAGGCGGCCCCCUGGACGAAGACUGACGCUCAGGUGCGAAAGCGUGGGGCAGCAAACAGGAUUAGAUACCCUGGUAGUCACGCUGUAAACGAUGUCGAUUUUGGAGGUUGUGCCCUUGAGGCGUGGCUUCCGGAGCUAACGCGUUAAUCGACCGCCUGGGGAGUACGGCCGCAAGGUU